ACAGAGAAAGCUUAGGGCAGACUUCCUCUGCCCCUCCAGGAAAUGAGUAUGGCUGAGGAGGUGAAAAUGUAGCUCAUGAGAAAUGUCACAGGAGGAAUACUGAAGUCUUUACCCCUUGUUGGAAAUUUAGAUUCCAUGAGGCUGGGCCUCCACAGAAGAAGGAGGUAUAACUUCCACUGGAGUGAAAAACAAUCAUGACAGAGAGGGCACCUGGAUUUGAACCAGGGACCUCUUGAUCUGUAGUCAGAUGCUCAACCCCUGAGCUAUACCCCUAGCUGCCUACAUCUUUUUCACAAGACUCUUCCAUAGUUGCAGUCUUUCCUAAGCUGUGCUCUCGCCAUCCUGUGUCUCCCUGGGGAGCUUCCUGAGCUGCUUCUCUGGGCACCCACCUGCACACCUGUCAGAACUGCUCCCCUUCCUCAGAGCCUGCGUACCUAUGCCCACCCAAACACCCCUCUUCCCAGAGCACGUCUCGCCCCCUUCCCUCAUUAUUAUUAUUAUUACUGAAUACAGGAGGAACUCUACCCAGCCCCUUAGUAUCUAAGAUGCUUCAUUUCUUUUUUCUUUUUCUUCAUCUCCCACUCUCUGUUUUGGUUUCCUUUCCAGGGGACCAAGGCCUGGGACCUAUGGGAGGCUGUCAGCGUCUUGGCUUACCCCAGGAGAGGCGCCUGGCCAAGAAAGCUGCAGCCCCAGCUUUCCAGGGGAAGAGUGGGCAGAGGUGAGUGCCUCACCUGGGCCAGACCCGGGUACCAGAUGCUGGAGCAAGCACAGAGAUGACCUGAAGCCUGCCCUUGAGAAUGUCAAGCACACAUGCCGUCAAGGGCCCACGCCAGGCACGCACGGAGCCCAGGACAGCCUGGAGGAGGGAGACCCUCAAAGCAUCUCACAGCCGCGAUGUGUGGCCAAGGGUCCUGGGGGCUGUAACUUGGCGUGAUGAUCCCUCGUCUCCACAGUGGAUUCUUGGUGGGUGUCAGCUCUCUAGACUUCACUGGGACUCGCCAUAUAACCUGCUAUGAACAUCUGCCUGGUAAUGUAGAGGUUAUAGAGAAUAGAGAUGCAUGUACACCCUAAAAGGAAGAAGUAAACUUAAACCCUGUGCCCUGUCAAAGGUGUAAGCAUGGAAUGUGUCAAUGGAUAAAUUAAACCCACAGAGUUUGGAUUGAGACUGGGAAACAUUGACGCAAGGGAGAAGGGUGGGCGGGACUUGCCCACGGCAGGGGGUGGGGUUUGAAGCAGCUUCCUCUUCAGAAACCCCCCUGGGCAGCCCCCAGGGCCGGGGAGGGCUGAGCAGGUGGGUUUAGAAGCUACCCCUCCCACUCCAACCCCAGCCCGUCUGCCUCUGAUUAUUUUACAUAUUUAGCUUCUGAAAAUGGUUUUAUUUAAACAAGGGAUUCUGGGGUUAAAAACAAAAUCUUGAAAACCCUGACAGAUGAAGUGCAGAAAACUUGGCUGAUCAUUAUAAAUUUGAUGAAGAUUUUGUGUCCUGACUCUGAAAGAGAUUCUAAAAUAUAGUACUAUAGAUUUAGUUUCUACAGAGAGGUGAUGAACUCUUCCAGACAACCCAGUUAAUUUCACAGGUAUGGAGAUGGUUAAAAGUCCUCAUACUGGGUGGCAAAUGAAUUUCUUCUGGUACAUUUACAGAUGAGACUUAAUACUUCCUCUUGGAGAAAUAACGGGCUCAUUCAAUUCUGAGAUAAGUUCUUAUUCUUUGGAACUCAGAAGUUCCCUUUACAGUAAGAAAAAACAACAGUGCUACUUUCAUUUGGGGGAAAAGGGUUUUAAAUUAAAUUCUGAAAUUCAGUUAUAUGACAAUAACACACCAAUGCGAGUUAAUCCUUUUGGUAAAAUGAACACCCAAGCAUGUUUGUAUGCAGUUUAGUUUAUGCUUGUUCCAAGACUCUGAAGAGCUGGCACGGAUUUGGGCAAGAAAAAUGUGUCUAUUUCUUCUCAGUAUGUCUACCAUUUGAAUAAAUAUACUAGGGGCUGGCGUUAUUUGGAUACUGACUUGCUUUUUCAGUAGUACUCUGAAACAUUUGAGGGUUUUUUUUUUUUCCAAACUUAUUUCAAGAUGUAUCACAAACCUUUGGCUUGGUAAGGCAUUGAUUAAUUCAGGAUAAGCUAAAGUGGGAAAUGAAUAAUAAUUUUAGUUGGACAUUUGUUAUUAUUAAAUUGUUUAGGGGGUAGCUUUGCAAACCAACUUACUGCCUUUACUUUUGGACAAAAUUAAUGGGGCCAGUUUCAGUGAUGACGAUCAACCCACAUAAGAUAAUACACACCUAAAAUUUUUAUCUUAGAUUUUAGAAUUUGUAUAAUUGACCUGCAGAAAAUUUGGUCAUGGAACUAUGGUUCUCGGAUCAUACCUUCAGUGGAAGAAUGGCAAAUGUCAUGCUUCAUAACCUGUUUAAUUUUCUUAAUUGAAUCGAACUUAAAUCCAAUCAAUUUCAAUCCUUUGAGGGCGUAUCUUUAGUAUUUGUGUAUCUGUAAACACAGAACUGAUUGAAUGUAGUUCUUAAAAAGCUUUUAUGCUUAUUAGACUAUACUGAUUCUAAAAGGAAACAAUUUGUUGUCCCGAUAUUCAGUAUUUAAAUAAAAUUGCUAGUGAGGAUAGAAAUUUUCAUUGGUACAUUUUGUCAUUAAAAUUCAACUUUCCAUUACCCUAGUUAAUGGUCAGUAGUGAUGCUCCUAUCCUAACGUACUCGAGUUAUUUUGAGAACUUGUUUGUUAUUUCAUAAAGAGAAGCAGUGAGUUUCAUUCAUUGGUUGCGGUGGAAGGAAUGGUGAGAACCCAAGAGGUAGCACAAGCCUAAAGGAUUUGAGUCACGGCAUGAGCACUGUUUUAUUGGAGAGCAGGUGCAUCGUCCUUAUGAAAAUCUUCACCCCGUUCCUUCUCUGACUGUUGAACAAAUGGCUUCUUAGGUCCCAACAUAUAAACAAACACAGAAAGGGAGCCCCUCGCCUUAACACAUAAGCCUCUUCCCAAAGUCCCCACGGA
Long non-coding RNA from Delphinapterus leucas (beluga whale), 2991 nucleotides. Lineage: Eukaryota; Metazoa; Chordata; Mammalia; Artiodactyla; Monodontidae. The record is from Ensembl.